Molecule: ribosomal RNA, 628 nt
Filed under: Strongyloides stercoralis
Lineage: Eukaryota; Metazoa; Nematoda; Chromadorea; Rhabditida; Strongyloididae
Description: SSU rRNA
Rfam family: Eukaryotic small subunit ribosomal RNA
Source: RNAcentral
AGUUAGAGGUUCGAAGGCGAUCAGAUACCGCCCUAGUUCUAACCGUAAACUAUGCCUACUAGAUGUAUGAAUUAUUAGUUAUAAUAAUUUAUGCAUCUUCUCGGAAACGAAAGUCUUUCGGUUCCGGGGGAAGUAUGGUUGCAAAGCUGAAACUUAAAGGAAUUGACGGAAGGGCACCACCAGGAGUGGAGCCUGCGGCUUAAUUUGACUCAACACGGGAAAACUCACCCGGGCCGGACACUAUAAGGAUUGACAGAUUGAUAGCUCUUUCAUGAUUUAGUGGUUGGUGGUGCAUGGCCGUUCUUAGUUCGUGGAUAUGAUUUGUCUGGUUGAUUCCGAUAACGAGCGAGACUUUUAUGUUAUAUUAAAUAUUAUUAUUUUGUUUAUUUUAAUAUAAAUAAUUAAUAUUUUAAUAACAGAUUAAUAGUGUUUAACUAUUUGAGAGAGAGCGAUAACAGGUCUGUGAUGCCCUUAGAUGUCCGGGGCUGCACGCGCGCUACAAUGUAGUGAUCAUUAUGUUCCUGUUUAGAGAUAAAUGGGUAAACAUUGAAAACAUUACGUAACUGGGAAUGAAAAUUGCAAUUAUUUUUCAUGAACGAGGAAUUCCAAGUAAACGUAAGUCAUUAGC